CCUACGGGUGGCUGCAGUGGGGAAUAUUGGACAAUGGGCGAAAGCCUGAUCCAGCCAUGCCGCGUGUGUGAAGAAGGCCUUCGGGUUAUAAAGCACUUUCAGUGGGGAAGAAAGCCUUGGGGCUAAUACCCUCGAGGAAGGACAUCACCCACAGAAGAAGCACCGGCUAACUCCGUGCCAGCAGCCGCGGUAAUACGGAGGGUGCGAGCGUUAAUCGGAAUUACUGGGCGUAAAGCGCGCGUAGGCGGUCUGAUAAGCCGGUUGUGAAAGCCCCGGGCUCAACCUGGGAACGGCAUCCGGAACUGCCAGGCUAGAGGGUGGGAGAGGGAGGUAGAAUGCCCGGUGGAGCGGUGAAAUGCGUAGAGAUGCGGAGGAAAACCAGUGGCGAAGGCGACCCAAUGGGACGGUACUGACGCGGAUGUGCGAAAGCGUGGGGAGCAAACAGGAUUAGAUACCCUAGUAGUC
RNAcentral lists this ribosomal RNA (465 nucleotides) under Vreelandella stevensii. RNAcentral describes it as "partial 16S ribosomal RNA". It matches the Rfam family "Bacterial small subunit ribosomal RNA", at positions 338 to 795 of the family's 1533-position model. The record is from RNAcentral. Lineage: Bacteria; Pseudomonadati; Pseudomonadota; Gammaproteobacteria; Oceanospirillales; Halomonadaceae.